This 580-nucleotide ribosomal RNA is filed under the name uncultured bacterium. RNAcentral describes it as "partial 16S ribosomal RNA". It matches the Rfam family "Bacterial small subunit ribosomal RNA", at positions 355 to 1376 of the family's 1533-position model. The record is from RNAcentral.
UGAGGAAUAUUGGUCAAUGGGCGAGAGCCUGAACCAGCCAAGUCGCGUGAAGGAAGACUGCCUUAUGGGUUGUAAACUUCUUUUAUACAGGAAUAAAAAGGCCUACGUGUAGGCCAUUGCAAGUACUGUAUGAAUAAGCAUCGGCUAACUCCGUGCCAGCAGCCGCGGUAAUACGGAGGAUGCGAGCGUUAUCCGGAUUUAUUGGGUUUAAAGGGUGCGCAGGCGGGCUUUUAAGUCAGCGGUGAAAUCUGGACGCUUAACGUCCAAACUGCCGUUGAAACUGGGAGUCUUGAGUAUGGAUGAAGUAGGCGGAAUUCGUUGUGUAGCGGUGACAUGCAUAGAUAUAACGAGGAACUCCGAUUGCGUAGGCAGCUUACUAAGCCAUAACUGACGCUCAUGCACGAAAGCGUGGGGAUCAAACAGGAUUAGAUACCCUGGUAGUCCACGCCGUAAACGAUGAUUACUAGUUGUAUGCGAUAUGAUAGUAUGUGACUAAGCGAAAGCGAUAAGUAAUCCACCUGGGGAGUACGCCGGCAACGGUGAAACUUAAAUGAAUUGACGGGGUCAUAGCUGUUUCCUG